GACGAACGCUGGCGGCGUGCUUAACACAUGCAAGUCGAACGGAAAGGCCCUGCUUGCAGGGUACUCGAGUGGCGAACGGGUGAGUAACACGUGGGUGAUCUGCCCUGCACUUCGGGAUAAGCCUGGGAAACUGGGUCUAAUACCGGAUAGGAGCCAUUUUUAGUGUGAUGGUUGGAAAGUUUUUUUCGGUGUAGGAUGAGCUCGCGGCCUAUCAGCUUGUUGGUGGGGUAAUGGCCUACCAAGGCGGCGACGGGUAGCCGGCCUGAGAGGGUGGACGGCCACAUUGGGACUGAGAUACGGCCCAGACUCCUACGGGAGGCAGCAGUGGGGAAUAUUGCACAAUGGGCGCAAGCCUGAUGCAGCGACGCCGCGUGGGGGAUGACGGCCUUCGGGUUGUAAACUCUUUUCGCUAGGGACGAAGCUUUUUGUGACGGUACCUAGAGAAGAAGCACCGGCUAACUACGUG
This 466-nucleotide ribosomal RNA is filed under the name uncultured bacterium. Its description in RNAcentral is "partial 16S ribosomal RNA". It matches the Rfam family "Bacterial small subunit ribosomal RNA", at positions 28 to 507 of the family's 1533-position model. The record is from RNAcentral.